GUGGAUUAGAUACCCUGGUAGUCCUGACAGUAAACGGUGCACGUUUGGUGUGGGAGGAUUCGACCCCUUCUGCGCCGGAGCUAACGCGUUAAACGUGCCGCCUGGGGAGUACGGUCGCAAGAUUAAAACUCAAAGAAAUUGACGGGGGCCCGCACAAGCGGUGGAGUAUGUGGCUCAAUUCGAUGCAACGCGAAGAACCUUACCAGGCCUUGACAUGCAUCUCUAAGUUGGUGAAAGCCAGCGAGUCCCGAAAGGGACAAUUUGCACAGGUGCUGCACGGCUGUCGACAGCU
RNAcentral lists this ribosomal RNA (292 nucleotides) under uncultured bacterium. Its description in RNAcentral is "partial 16S ribosomal RNA". It matches the Rfam family "Bacterial small subunit ribosomal RNA", at positions 773 to 1060 of the family's 1533-position model. The record is from RNAcentral.